AGUGAACGCUGGCGGUAGGCCUAACACAUGCAAGUCGAACGGCAGCACAGUAAGAGCUUGCUCUUACGGGUGGCGAGAGGCGGACGGGUGAGGAAUACAUCGGAACCUACUUUUUCGUGGGGGAUAACGUAGGGAAACUUACGCUAAUACCGCAUACGCCCUACGGGUGAAAGCAGGGGAUCUUCGGACCUUGCGCGAUUGAAUGAGCCGAUGUCGGAUUAGCUAGUUGGCGGGGUAAAGGCCCACCAAGGCGACGAUACGUAGCUGGCCUGAGAGGAUGAGCAGCCACACUGGAACUGAGACACGGUCCAGACUCCUACGGGUGGCAGCAGUGGGGAAUAUUGGACAAUGGGCGCAAGCCUGAUCCAGCCAUACCGCGUGGGUGAAGAAGGCCUUCGGGUUGUAAAGCCCUUUUGUUGGGAAAGAAAAGCAGCAGGUUAAUACCCCGCUGUUCUGACGGUACCCAAAGAAUAAGCACCGGCUAACUUCGUG
This 492-nucleotide ribosomal RNA is filed under the name uncultured bacterium. Its description in RNAcentral is "partial 16S ribosomal RNA". It matches the Rfam family "Bacterial small subunit ribosomal RNA", at positions 29 to 507 of the family's 1533-position model. The record is from RNAcentral.